RNAcentral lists this ribosomal RNA (253 nucleotides) under uncultured bacterium. Its description in RNAcentral is "partial 16S ribosomal RNA". It matches the Rfam family "Bacterial small subunit ribosomal RNA", at positions 524 to 776 of the family's 1533-position model. The record is from RNAcentral.
UACAGAGGUCCCGAGCGUUGUUCGGAUUCAUUGGGCGUAAAGGGUGCGUAGGCGGUCUUCUAAGUUUGAUGUGAAAUCCCGGGGCUCAACCCUGGAAUUGCAUUGAAUACUGGAGGACUAGAGUACCGGAGAGGAAACUGGAAUUUACGGUGUAGCAGUGAAAUGCGUAGAGAUCGUAAGGAAGACCAGUGGCGAAGGCGGGUCUCUGGGCCGAUACUGACGCUGAGGAGCGAAAGCGUGGGGAGCGAACAGG